This 255-nucleotide long non-coding RNA is filed under the name Pelobates cultripes (western spadefoot toad). The record is from RNAcentral. Lineage: Eukaryota; Metazoa; Chordata; Amphibia; Anura; Pelobatidae.
CAAUAAUUAAUUUGUUACCUCGAUUUGCAACUUUCCCAAUUUGCUCUAACAGCUGUUCUUCCUCAAUAAUAUUUACAUUAGGUGGUUUAUAACAUAUCCCAACCAAUAAUUGAUUUCCCUUUGUUUGCCCCAAGCAGAUAUCUACCCAUAAAGCUUCCACCUUUUCCUCGUCACACUCCACAUGCCUAAGAUUUGACUUUAACUCAUGGUUGACAUAUAAACAUACCCCAUCACCCUUCUUCUUUUUCCUAUCCU